Molecule: ribosomal RNA, 254 nt
Filed under: uncultured prokaryote
Description: partial 16S ribosomal RNA
Rfam family: Bacterial small subunit ribosomal RNA
Source: RNAcentral
AACGUAGGACGCAAGCGUUAUCCGGAGUUACUGGGCGUAAAGGGCGCGUAGGCGGCCUCUGCAAGUCGACUGUGAAAUCUCCGGGCUUAACCCGGAAAGGUCAGCCGAUACUGCAGGGCUAGAGUGCAGAAGGGGCAACUGGAAUUCUCGGUGUAGCGGUGAAAUGCGUAGAUAUCGAGAGGAACACCUGCGGCGAAGGCGGGUUGCUGGGCUGACACUGACGCUGAAGCGCGAAAGCUAGGGGAGCGAACGGG